This 210-nucleotide unclassified non-coding RNA is filed under the name uncultured fungus. RNAcentral's name for it is "sequence contains ITS1". Lineage: Eukaryota; Fungi. The record is from RNAcentral.
UUUAACUAUUAGAUAGGACUCAGACAUCACUAACAUUCAGAGUUUGGUCCUCUGGCGGGCACACACGAGCAGAGCCCGCGGUGGAGGCCACGGCCCGCCAAAGCAACAAGAGUAUGUAGGCACGGGUGGGUGUAAGCCGCCUCCCCACCGUUUGACCGGUGUUCGGCGGCCUCACUUGUAAUGAUCCUUCCGCAGGUUCACCUACGGAAA